GAUGAACGCUGGCGGCGUGCCUAAUACAUGCAAGUCGAGCGAACAGACGAGGAGCUUGCUCCUCUGACGUUAGCGGCGGACGGGUGAGUAACAUGUGGAUAACCUACCUAUAAGACUGGGAUAACUUCGGGAAACCGGAGCUAAUACCGGAUAAUAUAUUGAACCGCAUGGUUCAAUAGUGAAAGACGGUUUUGCUGUCACUUAUAGAUGGAUCCGCGCCGCAUUAGCUAGUUGGUAAGGUAACGGCUUACCAAGGCAACGAUGCGUAGCCGACCUGAGAGGGUGAUCGGCCACACUGGAACUGAGACACGGUCCAGACUCCUACGGGAGGCAGCAGUAGGGAAUCUUCCGCAAUGGGCGAAAGCCUGACGGAGCAACGCCGCGUGAGUGAUGAAGGUCUUCGGAUCGUAAAACUCUGUUAUUAGGGAAGAACAAAUGUGUAAGUAACUAUGCAUGUCUUGACGGUACCUAAUCAGAAAGCCACGGCUAACUACGUG
Molecule: ribosomal RNA, 497 nt
Filed under: uncultured bacterium
Lineage: Bacteria
Description: partial 16S ribosomal RNA
Rfam family: Bacterial small subunit ribosomal RNA
Source: RNAcentral